This 265-nucleotide ribosomal RNA is filed under the name uncultured bacterium. RNAcentral's name for it is "partial 16S ribosomal RNA". It matches the Rfam family "Bacterial small subunit ribosomal RNA", at positions 1227 to 1500 of the family's 1533-position model. The record is from RNAcentral.
ACAAUGGGGGGUACAGAGGGCCGCUACCACGCGAGUGGAUGCCAAUCCCUAAAACCCCUCUCAGUUCGGACUGGAGUCUGCAACCCGACUCCACGAAGCUGGAUUCGCUAGUAAUCGCGCAUCAGCCACGGCGCGGUGAAUACGUUCCCGGGCCUUGUACACACCGCCCGUCAAGCCAUGGGAGCCGGGGGUACCUGAAGUGCGUAACCGCGAGGAUCGCCCUAGGGUAAAACUGGUGACUGGGGCUAAGUCGUAACAAGGUAUC